UGUUUGAUCUGUGAGACGUAAAGCUACAUAAAAAUAGAUGGAAGUCUGAGAUGUCGUGUAAUUAUCAAGUUAAAGCAAUUACUCAUGAAUGAAAUGGCAUGCUGUUGUUAGUGUUUUAUAUUAUUGGAUAAUGACAACGAAUGUUUAAACGACGGGUCUGGGAAAGAUUUCCUUAAUUGCAACAGCCGCUUCAGUAAGCGUUUCCUACAUCUGAACAUGGUCAUCCAAAUGAUUUUCUAUCCCUGCUGAACUGCAAGAUCAUAAAACGAUCUUACCAAGUGCCAGAUGGUCAGAAUUGGUAUUCUCUCAAUCCUACCCAUAAAAUAAGUUUUACAAGAUGCCUUCGUUCUGCUAUGGAUGCUACAGUGGACCAGUUGUGCUUCUCUCAGUGGUUACGAUAUUGGGAGAUUCUGCACCAAUGAGGAUCUGUAGGCUCUUUGCAAACUUUUCCUGAAGCCAGCAUUCUUCAAAAUGUGUUCAAGUCUGGGAUUUAUUAUUGCCAAGUCAUUUCCAACAUCGUAAAACUUGGAGCAUCAAUUCUCUGUAAAUAAGCCUAAACGGAAUCUUUGCCUGUAAUAGGUGAUAUAUUUUUCAUUUAAAUUAGAUGUAUUAAGAUUGGAAAGUAUCGAGUAUUUUUGGAGCAUGUUCACAACCCUUUAUAUCAGUUAUCAUUAAAAAUAUUAAGGUUCCUACAGUUGUCUCGCUAAAAUUCAUGCCCAAACGCAUGAUCAUUAUCCGAUCCAGAAUCCAAUAGCAACCACAAAUUAACUUUUUGUCUAUUAAACUAUCUUCAUGAAAUUUUAUUAUUCAAGCUACAAAAUUGAAACAAGGCUUCGAAUUUACAAACAGGAAGCUCAAACCGAAUGCAUGUCCAAAUAAAAAUACGAAACUUAAAUGUAGCCGUUCAGAAUCUAAUUAUGAAUGUUGAAUUAUGUAAAUGCAGCAAAUUCAUAGAACCGUCAGUAUUGCAUAAUUAUAACAUAAGUUAAUUGCUGGAUAAUUUAAUGUUAAUUCUGCAUGUGAAAGCUUCUUUGCCGCUGUGAUAUCAAUUAUAUCUCGCUUGCAUGCGAGUUCAGAACCUUUAUGCAUCUGGCAAGUACAUCGGUAUUUUUUAACUGUUAAAGAACAAGACCCUCUUUCGUAAUAGAAAUUCAUAUUUCAUACAUCAUACUUUACAAAUAAACGUCUACCCAAGUAAUAUAUUAAAAUGGAUGUAAAAUUGGAUUCAGUUUAAUUAUCCCAUUUAAACAAAUUGACUUUAGCUAGAAAUGUAAAUUCGCUAAUGCUACAAUAACAAUUGCAAUGGAAUCGAUUAUUAGUCAAGCAGUACUGAUUAGUUAUUCUACAUCAGUAUGAAUAUUUGAGCAUUCCGCUAAAACUGAGUUGAGUUCGUGUAUAGAAAAUUGUAAUUUUAGAUAUUAACUUCAACCAUGAAGCGCGUUAAUAGACAGGACGCAAAGGAGGCAAAACUCCAUGCAGAUAUCUUUCCUACGCCUCUGAAAUCUUGCGCGAGAUUAAACUUCGCGUAAGUGUAAAUUAAAUGGUUCGGUGCUAAAGCAAACUAAUUUCGUCAUAUUGAAUAACUGCGAAUUCAAUUAGUUUGAAAAUCUGAUUUUUUCAGUGUUGAAAGUAGGAGGUAAAACUUUAUAAAACUGAAGUGUAAGAUACUCUAGGAAUACAGGGCAAGAUUUUUUCAACAAUGGGUUUCGACGCCAAGUGCGAUGGCUUUCAGGAAACUAUGGGAAUGAAUCCAGGAAGCUCGGAUACUGUCAAAUAAAAGUUGGGGCAUUUUUAGAUAGAAACACUUGAUUAAUAUUUUAUCAAACUAACAUCUAACUAAUAUGCAUCUUAUUUUCUUGAGUUAAGAAAUCGGUUUGCAAGUUUUUUGUUUGUAUACGGAUUCACUGGGAAUAUUUUUCAGGUUUGGGACCUUAUUUAUAAAUCCUCAGAUAGGAUAGUAUA
Long non-coding RNA from Argiope bruennichi, 1962 nucleotides. RefSeq lists it as uncharacterized. The record is from RefSeq and is a predicted model, not a curated record. The transcript has 3 exons. Lineage: Eukaryota; Metazoa; Arthropoda; Arachnida; Araneae; Araneidae.